AUUGUUUGCAACACAUCAAAGUCAGUGUAAAGGUUUCAAGAAGGCAGAUUACAGGAGCCCCUUGAAGGCAAUGUCUGACUAGAGCCUUCAAGCCGCCCACCAUGGCCUGGUGCCAGGUGCCACCUCUAUACAGCAAGCAGCCUCCUACAGACACCCCCUCUGCCACUGCAUCUGCCCCAUGGCACAGGACACCCUAGAGUGAAGAUGCCCUCUUCGUCUGACUUGGAGGCGGCCCUGUUACUUAAAAUGUCCUUUUUCUACUUAUAAAUCUCCUGUGCCUGAAAAGAGGAAGAGGGAGUUUCCGGAAAAGGAACGUGGCCAGCCGAUGCCAAGGAGACUUACUGAGGAGUGGUUCCUGAGAGCGCUGGUUUUGCCUGGUCGUCUCUAGGUCCUCUGUUUCAGAAGGACUCUGUGAAAACAACUCUUGAUUUGACAUCUGAAAAAUACAGAAUAAUGAAUAGUUAGAUUUCCACUACAGUGAAAUAAAAACCUCUUGGCAGUUAUCAGACACGGGCCCCCUCCUGGCCAAGCACUCCAUGUGCAUCAUUUCAUUUUAUUUUUCAAAUGUGAGGAAUCUGAAGUCUAAAGAAUCUAUUGUCUUUCCAAAGGUGUUGUGGCCAUGAUUCCAAAGCAAGGCUACUUGGCUCCAAAGCCACCAUUCAAGGUACAUACUACAAAGCAAAAUUUUACAUGGAGAAGGAAAAGUUUAUGACCACAGAUGCUUGUUGUCAAAGUCAUCUCAGUUUAAAAAUAAAUGAUGGCAAAACUACGCUUCCUGUGAAACGACUGAGGAAGACUACUUUGGAGUGGGGAACAGAUUAGAGCAGAUCCUUUUACCAAAAAGUUUUAUACUGUUACAUGCAAAACAAUCUAAUAUUCAACAUAGCUCACAAAUCAUUUGCCUAUAUGGUUGUAUUAAGUUGAUGUAUUUUAUCUACAGAAAACCUAUGUAGAGUAUGCUACUGGAGAUUUUUUUAUUACAAUAACUUAAAUCUGUUUCCUAGUAUAUUGCCUCAGUUGCUAAAUGAUGAAUAAAUGAAUAAUCACAUCAGAAGACUUACA
Long non-coding RNA from Sciurus carolinensis (gray squirrel), 1062 nucleotides. RefSeq lists it as uncharacterized. The transcript is spliced from 2 exons. The record is from RefSeq and is a predicted model, not a curated record. Lineage: Eukaryota; Metazoa; Chordata; Mammalia; Rodentia; Sciuridae.